GGGGAUGUAGCUCAAAUGGUAGAGCGCUCGCUAUGCAAACAAGAUGUACGAGGUUCGAUACCCUGCAUCUGCA
This 73-nucleotide transfer RNA is filed under the name Nelumbo nucifera (sacred lotus). It matches the Rfam family "tRNA". From Rfam's summary of the family: Transfer RNA (tRNA) molecules are approximately 80 nucleotides in length. Their secondary structure includes four short double-helical elements and three loops (D, anti-codon, and T loops). Lineage: Eukaryota; Viridiplantae; Streptophyta; Magnoliopsida; Proteales; Nelumbonaceae. The record is from Rfam by way of RNAcentral.